CGGGGGAGCAAGCGUUGUUCGGAUUUACUGGGUGUAAAGGGCGCGUAGGCGGCCACGCAAGUCGGUUGUGAAAUCUCCGGGCUUAACCCGGAAAGGUCAAUCGAUACUGCGGGGCUAGAGUGCAGAAGGGGCAACUGGAAUUCUCGGUGUAGCGGUGAAAUGCGUAGAUAUCGAGAGGAACACCUGCGGCGAAGGCGGUUGCUGGGCUGACACUGACGCUGAAGCGCGAAAGCUAGGGGAGCGAACGGAUUAGAUACCCCGGUAGUCCUAGCCUUAAACGAUGAAUGCUUGGUGUCUGGGGUUUUAUAGUCCCCGGGUGCCGUCGCUAACGCUUUAAGCAUUCCGCCGUGGGGAGUACGGUCGCAAGACUGA
This 372-nucleotide ribosomal RNA is filed under the name uncultured organism. RNAcentral describes it as "bacterial SSU rRNA". It matches the Rfam family "Bacterial small subunit ribosomal RNA", at positions 527 to 897 of the family's 1533-position model. The record is from RNAcentral.